Long non-coding RNA from Oreochromis niloticus (Nile tilapia), 1010 nucleotides. RefSeq lists it as uncharacterized. Lineage: Eukaryota; Metazoa; Chordata; Actinopteri; Cichliformes; Cichlidae. The record is from RefSeq and is a predicted model, not a curated record. The transcript is spliced from 3 exons.
AAAACAUUUUGAUUUUAAUUUCCAGCCUGGAUAAAACCACUCUUCUUCCUUCACUUUUUCUCCUAAUUAAGAUGAUUUUUAUCAGAAUACACUAGCAUGCUAUUAAUGCUUGCUGACUGGUAACAUGGAUUUAGGAUGGGUCAUCUUCCCUCGAUGGCACCUGUCUGCAAACUGUAGCAGAUGUUAGCAGUGUAAUUAAUUGUGUGACAGGUGAGACCUGAGUCUGGGAACCGCCCCUGGUAGGCGGAGCUGGUUUUUGUCCCUUUCAUAAGCUCAGGUGUAGGCAAUUAGGUAUUCUCUGGAGCAAACCUGCAGCUGUGAGUGCUUGGUCUAAGCUGGGCAAGUUGGCACUUUUAACUUCUUUUAUGAAAGCUUGAUGCGGGCCCCCUAGCCUUCUGUUAGAACGGUGGGAAACAUUGCGUUCCUGUGAGAAACGUGUAGUGGACUCCACCGCCACUGACCAAUAUUUAUUAGGGUGUGACGCGAACUUGUGGACAGAGUACCGAGCUGCUGCUUUGCCGGGUGGAUUUCUGGCUGUGGGCAAAGGACCCGACACAUCACUGUAUUUUAAUUUGUCUUAACCUGGUGUGACUCAACAGAUUGUGGCGGCUGUUGAGUUUGUUUGCCUUAUUUGUUUUAUUUUUUAUUUUAUUAUAUUGUUGUGUAUCAGUAGACACCGCAGAUAUUGAUUGUCUUUUAGUGUUUUACCUUUUUUUUUUUUUUUUUUUUUUUUUAUUACUUAGUUUUUAAUAAAGGUUUUACAUAAAGGAAAACAACAAACAACCAAAAACAACAAUAACCAAACAAGCAGUCAACUGAAAAGCACAGCUUUUUCCCACAAAGCAAUUCUGGUAGUGAGAACAUGACUUUAUAUUCAUGAAUUGACAGCACAUCUACAGAUGUAAGAGCAGCCUAGGAGAGGCAUACAGAAGUUUAUAUAGAUGUGAGUAGGCACAGACAGGAGAAAGAAAGAAUAAAUAAAUUAAAAAAACGCAUUCUAAUUUCGGAUA